Molecule: ribosomal RNA, 459 nt
Filed under: uncultured bacterium
Lineage: Bacteria
Description: partial 16S ribosomal RNA
Rfam family: Bacterial small subunit ribosomal RNA
Source: RNAcentral
CCUACGGGUGGCAGCAGUGAGGAAUAUUGGUCAAUGGCCGCAGGGCUGAACCAGCCAAGUCGCGUGAGGGAUGACGGUCCUAUGGAUUGUAACCCUCUUUUGUCAGGUAGCAAAGAGCGCCACGUGUGGCGUUUUGCGAGUACCUGAAGAAAAAGCAUCGGCUACCUCCGUGCCGGCAGCCGCGGUAAUACGGAGGAUGCGCGCGUUGUCCGGGUUUAGUGGGUUUAAAGGGUGCGCAGGCGGAAUGUCAAGUCAGCGGUAAAAUUUCGGGGCUCAACCCCGUCGUGCCGUUGAAACUGGCGUUCUUGAGUGAGCGAGAAGUAUGCGGAAUUCGUGGUGUAGCGGUGAAAUGCAUAGAUAUAACGCAGAACUCCGAUUGCGAAGGCAGCAUACCGGCGCUUAACUGACGCUGAUGCACGAAAGCGUGGGUAUCGAACAGGAUUAGAUACCCUAGUAGUC